ACCAAUGUGGCAUACUGGUUUGAGCACUGGACUAUGACUCUGGCAACCAGGGUUCGAAACCCUGCUUGGCCA
Molecule: non-coding RNA, 72 nt
Organism: Phrynosoma platyrhinos (Desert horned lizard)
Lineage: Eukaryota; Metazoa; Chordata; Lepidosauria; Squamata; Phrynosomatidae
Source: the annotation of a GenBank genome assembly